AUUGAACGCUGGCGGCAGGCUUAACACAUGCAAGUCGAGCGGAGAUGAGGUGCUUGCACCUUAUCUUAGCGGCGGACGGGUGAGUAAUGCUUAGGAAUCUGCCUAUUAGUGGGGGACAACAUUCCGAAAGGAAUGCUAAUACCGCAUACGUCCUACGGGAGAAAGCAGGGGAUCUUCGGACCUUGCGCUAAUAGAUGAGCCUAAGUCGGAUUAGCUAGUUGGUGGGGUAAAGGCCUACCAAGGCGACGAUCUGUAGCGGGUCUGAGAGGAUGAUCCGCCACACUGGGACUGAGACACGGCCCAGACUCCUACGGGAGGAAGCAGUGGGGAAGAUUGGACAAUGGGGGGAACCCUGAUCCAGCCAUGCCGCGUGUGUGAAGAAGGCCUUAUGGUUGUAAAGCACUGUAAGCGAGGAGGAGGCUACUGAGACUAAUACUCUUGGAUAGUGGACGUUACUCGCAGAAUAAGCACCGGCUAACUCUGUGCCAGCCGCCGCGGUAA
This 501-nucleotide ribosomal RNA is filed under the name uncultured bacterium. RNAcentral describes it as "partial 16S ribosomal RNA". It matches the Rfam family "Bacterial small subunit ribosomal RNA", at positions 30 to 523 of the family's 1533-position model. The record is from RNAcentral.